GGGAAUGUAACUCAGUGGUAGAGUGCUUGCUUAGCACUACAGCCGCCUUGGCUGUUGUGAGAACAAGAAAAGAUUUGCAUGAAGUCGAGGGUUCGAUUCCCUUCAUUUCCA
Molecule: non-coding RNA, 111 nt
Organism: Meira miltonrushii
Lineage: Eukaryota; Fungi; Basidiomycota; Exobasidiomycetes; Exobasidiales; Brachybasidiaceae
Source: the annotation of a RefSeq genome assembly